GGGUUGUGAGGUUAAGCGACUAAGCGUACACGGUGGAUGCCCUGGCAGUCAGAGGCGAUGAAGGACGUGCUAAUCUGCGAUAAGCGUCGGUAAGGUGAUAUGAACCGUUAUAACCGGCGAUUUCCGAAUGGGGAAACCCAGUGUGUUUCGACACACUAUCAUUAACUGAAUCCAUAGGUUAAUGAGGCGAACCGGGGGAACUGAAACAUCUAAGUACCCCGAGGAAAAGAAAUCAACCGAGAUUCCCCAGUAGCGGCGAGCGAACGGGGAGCAGCCCAGAGCCUGAAUCAGUGUGUGUGUUAGUGGAAGCGUCUGGAAAGGCGCGCGAUACAGGGUGACAGCCCCGUACACAAAAAUGCACAUGCUGUGAGCUCGAUGAGUAGGGCGGGACACGUGGUAUCCUGUCUGAAUAUGGGGGGACCAUCCUCCAAGGCUAAAUACUCCUGACUGACCGAUAGUGAACCAGUACCGUGAGGGAAAGGCGAAAAGAACCCCGGCGAGGGGAGUGAAAAAGAACCUGAAACCGUGUACGUACAAGCAGUGGGAGCACGCUUCGGCGUGUGACUGCGUACCUUUUGUAUAAUGGGUCAGCGACUUAUAUUCUGUAGCAAGGUUAACCGAAUAGGGAGCCGAAGGGAAACCGAGUCUUAACUGGGCGUUAAGUUGCAGGGUAUAGACCCGAAACCCGGUGAUCUAGCCAUGGGCAGGUUGAAGGUUGGGUAACACUAACUGGAGGACCGAACCGACUAAUGUUGAAAAAUUAGCGGAUGACUUGUGGCUGGGGGUGAAAGGCCAAUCAAACCGGGAGAUAGCUGGUUCUCCCCGAAAGCUAUUUAGGUAGCGCCUCGUGAAUUCAUCUCCGGGGGUAGAGCACUGUUUCGGCAAGGGGGUCAUCCCGACUUACCAACCCGAUGCAAACUGCGAAUACCGGAGAAUGUUAUCACGGGAGACACACGGCGGGUGCUAACGUCCGUCGUGAAGAGGGAAACAACCCAGACCGCCAGCUAAGGUCCCAAAGUCAUGGUUAAGUGGGAAACGAUGUGGGAAGGCCCAGACAGCCAGGAUGUUGGCUUAGAAGCAGCCAUCAUUUAAAGAAAGCGUAAUAGCUCACUGGUCGAGUCGGCCUGCGCGGAAGAUGUAACGGGGCUAAACCAUGCACCGAAGCUGCGGCAGCGACGCUUAUGCGUUGUUGGGUAGGGGAGCGUUCUGUAAGCCUGUGAAGGUGUGCUGUGAGGCAUGCUGGAGGUAUCAGAAGUGCGAAUGCUGACAUAAGUAACGAUAAAGCGGGUGAAAAGCCCGCUCGCCGGAAGACCAAGGGUUCCUGUCCAACGUUAAUCGGGGCAGGGUGAGUCGACCCCUAAGGCGAGGCCGAAAGGCGUAGUCGAUGGGAAACAGGUUAAUAUUCCUGUACUUGGUGUUACUGCGAAGGGGGACGGAGAAGGCUAUGUUGGCCGGGCGACGGUUGUCCCGGUUUAAGCGUGUAGGCUGGUUUUCCAGGCAAAUCCGGAAAAUCAAGGCUGAGGCGUGAUGACGAGGCACUACGGUGCUGAAGCAACAAAUGCCCUGCUUCCAGGAAAAGCCUCUAAGCAUCAGGUAACAUCAAAUCGUACCCCAAACCGACACAGGUGGUCAGGUAGAGAAUACCAAGGCGCUUGAGAGAACUCGGGUGAAGGAACUAGGCAAAAUGGUGCCGUAACUUCGGGAGAAGGCACGCUGAUAUGUAGGUGAGGUCCCUCGCGGAUGGAGCUGAAAUCAGUCGAAGAUACCAGCUGGCUGCAACUGUUUAUUAAAAACACAGCACUGUGCAAACACGAAAGUGGACGUAUACGGUGUGACGCCUGCCCGGUGCCGGAAGGUUAAUUGAUGGGGUUAGCGGUAACGCGAAGCUCUUGAUCGAAGCCCCGGUAAACGGCGGCCGUAACUAUAACGGUCCUAAGGUAGCGAAAUUCCUUGUCGGGUAAGUUCCGACCUGCACGAAUGGCGUAAUGAUGGCCAGGCUGUCUCCACCCGAGACUCAGUGAAAUUGAACUCGCUGUGAAGAUGCAGUGUACCCGCGGCAAGACGGAAAGACCCCGUGAACCUUUACUAUAGCUUGACACUGAACAUUGAGCCUUGAUGUGUAGGAUAGGUGGGAGGCUUUGAAGUGUGGACGCCAGUCUGCAUGGAGCCGACCUUGAAAUACCACCCUUUAAUGUUUGAUGUUCUAACGUUGACCCGUAAUCCGGGUUGCGGACAGUGUCUGGUGGGUAGUUUGACUGGGGCGGUCUCCUCCUAAAGAGUAACGGAGGAGCACGAAGGUUGGCUAAUCCUGGUCGGACAUCAGGAGGUUAGUGCAAUGGCAUAAGCCAGCUUGACUGCGAGCGUGACGGCGCGAGCAGGUGCGAAAGCAGGUCAUAGUGAUCCGGUGGUUCUGAAUGGAAGGGCCAUCGCUCAACGGAUAAAAGGUACUCCGGGGAUAACAGGCUGAUACCGCCCAAGAGUUCAUAUCGACGGCGGUGUUUGGCACCUCGAUGUCGGCUCAUCACAUCCUGGGGCUGAAGUAGGUCCCAAGGGUAUGGCUGUUCGCCAUUUAAAGUGGUACGCGAGCUGGGUUUAGAACGUCGUGAGACAGUUCGGUCCCUAUCUGCCGUGGGCGCUGGAGAACUGAGGGGGCUGCUCCUAGUACGAGAGGACCGGAGUGGACGCAUCACUGGUGUUCGGGUUGUCAUGCCAAUGGCACUGCCCGGUAGCUAAAUGCGGAAGAGAUAAGUGCUGAAAGCAUCUAAGCACGAAACUUGCCCCGAGAUGAGUUCUCCCUGACUCCUUGAGAGUCCUGAAGGAACGUUGAAGACGACGACGUUGAUAGGCCGGGUGUGUAAGCGCAGCGAUGCGUUGAGCUAACCGGUACUAAUGAACCGUGAGGCUUAACCUUACAACGCCGAAG
This 2923-nucleotide ribosomal RNA is filed under the name Escherichia coli. RNAcentral's name for it is "bacterial LSU rRNA". It matches the Rfam family "Bacterial large subunit ribosomal RNA". Lineage: Bacteria; Pseudomonadati; Pseudomonadota; Gammaproteobacteria; Enterobacterales; Enterobacteriaceae. The record is from RNAcentral.